This 911-nucleotide long non-coding RNA is filed under the name Homo sapiens (human). RNAcentral describes it as "HSALNT0313062". Lineage: Eukaryota; Metazoa; Chordata; Mammalia; Primates; Hominidae. The record is from RNAcentral.
CACCACAGCUGUGAAUGUAAUGGGUCACAUCUGAAACCAGCACAUCUCUGAGUCUUACCCAAGGCCCAUGAUCUUAGUGGCAGACAAAGGAUUUGACUUUGGAGAGGAUGGUGUGGAGAACUGAAAUUCCGCUAAGAACACCUUAGGAUUCCCUAUAGGGUAAAGUGAAGAUCUUCAACUGGGCGUUGUGGAUUUAGAUGUGUAUGAGAAAUCCAGAUUAUCCUACAGGGUAUUACAAAGCUCAGAAUGGUAAACUUUAAGUCACUGUAGCUAGUUCUGAUUUUUACAAUUGAAAUUACACUUGAUGCCACUAUUUUCCAUAAGUGAUGCUUCUGACAUUUUAUGCAAACUUCAGUUUAUAUAUAAAAUUGGAUGCUCUGAAUGCUUUGAUUAGCAUGGUCUUACCUGAGCUAGUUAAAACAUGAUUUUAAUAAGACCAAAGAUCAAGAUUUCCUUCAGAAGCCAACUCCAAGUGAAGUUGUCCUCCUCAUGCGAACUACAGCUUAAAUUCCGGACAUAACAGCUUAGCUUCCAGAGAGAAGAAACAGUGACCUAGGACGGCAAUGAAACACAUUGAUCCUACCUUUGGAAUAUGGAUAGAAGAAGAAAAGUGGAUCAAAAGUGGAUUUUAGUUGUAAAUUCAGCCAUGACAGAAAUACCAUGAAUCCACUGAAUGCAUCCUUCAUCUAUAUCAAUAACACAUACAGUGUGAGCUGUCAAAUUAUGGCCAGAAGUGUGUAUAUGAAUACAAAAGUUAAUUUUUAAGUGACUAGCCUUAAGAGUUUUAGUCCGAGAAUGUGCAUAAUUAAAAACAAUGAGUAUUUUUAUCAGAAUAAUCUGAAAAAAAUUCUUAGAAUCAUUAUGAUAAAACCAGUCUCAUUUGUUUAAUGUCCUACAGCAUCACAAAUUGU